RNAcentral lists this unclassified non-coding RNA (416 nucleotides) under soil metagenome. RNAcentral's name for it is "partial contains 5.8S ribosomal RNA, internal transcribed spacer 2, and large subunit ribosomal RNA". The stretch from base 1 to 122 matches the Rfam family "5.8S ribosomal RNA", at positions 35 to 154 of the family's 154-position model. The record is from RNAcentral.
GAUGAAGAACGUAGCGAAAUGCGAUACUUGGUGUGAAUUGCAGAAUCCCGUGAACCAUCGAGUCUUUGAACGCAAGUUGCGCCCCAAGCCGUUAGGCCGAGGGCACGCCUGCCUGGGUGUCACGCAUCGUUGCCCCCCUCCCCGAAACCCCUCUCCUCGAAAGAGACGAGGGGACUUGGCCGUGGGGGGGCGGAUAUUGGCCUCCCGUGUGCCGGACGGCUCGCGGUUGGCCUAAAUACGAGUCGUCGGCGACGGACGCCACGACAAUCGGUGGUUGCGAAACCUCGGUUGCCCGUCGUGUGCGUUCGUCGCGCAUCGAGGGCUCGAAAAAAUGCUCGGCUCCGGCUCGGCUUUCAACGCGACCCCAGGUCAGGCGGGGUUACCCGCUGAAUUUAAGCAUAUCAAUAAGCGGAGGA